CCUACGGGAUGCAGCAGUAGGGAAUCCUCGGCAAUGGACGAAAGUCUGACCGAACAACGCCGCGUGAGUGAAGAAGGUUUUCGGAUCGUAAAACUCUGUUGUUAGAGAAGAACAAGUAGGAGAGGAACUGCUCUUACCUUGACGGUAUCUAACCAGAAAGCCACGGCUAACUACGUGCCAGCAGCCGCGGUAAUACGUAGGUGGCAAGCGUUGUCCGGAUUUAUUGGGCGUAAAGCGAGCGCAGGCGGUCUUUUAAGUCUGAUGUGAAAGCCCUCGGCUCAACCGAGGAAGGUCAUUGGAAACUGGAGGACUUGAGUGCAGAAGAGGAGAGUGGAAUUCCAUGUGUAGCGGUGAAAUGCGUAGAUAUAUGGAGGAACACCAGUGGCGAAGGCGACUCUCUGGUCUGUAACUGACGCUGAGGCUCGAAAGCGUGGGGAGCAAACAGGAUUAGAUACCCGUGUAGUC
This 465-nucleotide ribosomal RNA is filed under the name uncultured bacterium. RNAcentral describes it as "bacterial SSU rRNA". It matches the Rfam family "Bacterial small subunit ribosomal RNA", at positions 338 to 795 of the family's 1533-position model. The record is from RNAcentral.